RNAcentral lists this long non-coding RNA (550 nucleotides) under Nicotiana benthamiana. RNAcentral describes it as "long non-coding RNA (NBEN_LNC040268)". The record is from RNAcentral. Lineage: Eukaryota; Viridiplantae; Streptophyta; Magnoliopsida; Solanales; Solanaceae.
UUUCAAGUUUGAAGAGCUAAAAUCCUUCUGAGAAAAAAUUCCACGAGCUGAUAUAUAGAGUUAAGAUUUCCAAAAGCGAAAAAAUCCAGAAAAUUCGAAACAGGCUAGAAAAAUCAUAACUUACUGUUUCAUUAAUUCUUUUCCUUGAGCUAUACGGAUUUAGACCUACUGAAGUCAUUUUCUGGUUCCUGAGGGGUUUUUAAUGGAUUGAAAUUCAAAUUUUCAAAGCUAGUUUUUGUAAGUUGGAUUUGAUGAUAUAUCUGGGGGUUUCAAGCGUUAAAUUGGGUAUGGAUCUUGAGUUCUUGCUAUUGAUUUCUACUACUGCCGCUGACUCCUCCCACUUCUUAUUUUCCUUACUCUCCGGGUACUUAUUUUCGAUACUGCAGAUGUACUCUUCUAUUUAAAGAAGAAAUAAGAGCUGAAUCAUGAAAAUUCUCUCUGUUUCUUUAUUUUUAAUUAAUCUUUACUAUUAGCCUUUGGUCUAAAUUAGCUUUUCAUAUAUGGUUUGUAAUAGUCAGUAAAAAUAAUAAAGUAUUCAUGGUUUAGUCUG